GUGAAAACACUUUUACCUCAUGGUAUAUUAAGGGUGACAAAGACAUUGCAAAGUGAUUUGCAAACACGAGGUGUCAUAUAAAUUAUGCACUGUUCCAAUUUAUCCUGCAGCAGCAGAGCCCCCACAGACUGAAUUCUUCCAGAUGGUUUCUGUGCCUUGCUGCUGACAGGAUAACCCAGAGUCAGAGGUCAUCUUGGCCUCCGAAGGGGUCUGUACCUAUCCAACUUAAGCACAUGGGAUUCUAUUUCUAUCCUUUAGGUCCCUCACAGAAGCUGGCUCCUUAAUUUACCCGUUCCCAGGCUUCCUUUUUGUCCAAGGCCAGUUUUGCAAAGGGCACUCUUAAUCCCCCUUAAUUAUUCCCAGAGGUGAUGAAAUGAGUAAACUGUAUGGGUCAAAUAGUGUAAAUGAACUAAACCAGUUAACUGUUAACCAAGGCACAUGGUCAAUGCCUUAUUGGGAUUUUUUGUUUUUUGUUUUUUACCAUCUUUCUAACAUUAUUUCUAGCUGUACAUGGCCAAGUGGUGGGAGAAAAUCAGACUCUGAAACAUUUUAAUGGUCUUUUAAGUUUAAGAUGAGAACAAGUUUCAAGGAACUCUGGGAUCCUCUUUUUCAUGUUCGGUGGUGAAGCAGAUGGCUUCAACAAAAGCGUAUGGGUUCUUAUAGGAAGUCUUUUGGAUGGUGCAUUCACUAGGAGGUGCUCUGGGUGUGCUCUUGUUUGGGAAAAACUGAAUCCUAGGUUCUAAACAAGAAGAGAAUGCACUUCCAAAAGGAUCUGCACACUUUCUGCUUUGCAGGGGAUCAGGUUUCAAUGUUAUGGUGAGACUUUCUUUAAGGAAAGUCCAAAUCAUUGCUACCUAUGUAGAUAGAGCCUGGCCAGGAAUAGGGCAACUCCCCAACUGUGGGUGUAUUUGUUCACUAUUGAGAAAAACAAAACUGGGUGUGAGCAUGGGAGUUGCACAGCAGUGGCUCAAACCUGGCCUCGCUUUGACAGACACCAAGCUCAGCAAUUGCAACUCCUAUUCUUCAUUUCCCAGGAUGGAGUGUUGCUCCUUGGGGAACUCUGUGUCCCUUUCUCCUCUCUUGUCUCCCAUUUAUCCCUCUGGCUAAGCCUUUCCCUUCCUCUCCGGGUCACCUGUAGACCCUUUCUAGCUUGAAUGUAUCGGUGUGUCUGUGUUGUGAACAUGAUGAUGCCUUUCACAUAAGGAGCUUUCAGUAACUCAUUCUCAUACUCCUCUCCCAUUUCCACCCAUGGUGUGACUGUUUUGCUAUUCAAGACUAUCUGUAAAAAUGUACAAAUAAAAGCAGAAACUGAAAAUAAGGGGGAGGGAAUUGAGACUAAACAAACGCAUUGAUGUAGCCCUCAGUUUUCUGAGGACUUAUGUGGACUGCCCUAAAAUCCUGACUCUGGAUGGGAUUUGAAGGGAGGGAAUCUAUUGGCACAGGAGUUUUCUUCUGGUUGUUUCUCUGACAGUCACUUGUGUCUGCUUGAAACUCUCUGUUCAAAAAGUAUUUUCCAAAAAGUAAAAAGAAGUCAUCAAAGUCUGAAGGGUGAAGGUCAACACAAAGACCUGAUCCUGGGUCGAAUUAGUUAUCUUUGUCACUGGUGCAUUUGGCGCCUCCAGCGAGUCUUGUUACCUCACCAUGUCUCCGCGUCCUCUCAGCCAAACAGGGAGCAUGGGGGCUUCCGGGGCUCCUGGGGCACCAAGUCUCCUUGGCCAUUCUGCUGCUACUUUUAGGGCGGCUUUGAGCCCAGGCUGGUGUGUGCUUACUGCAUGGAAGUACAUUCGGAGAGCUCCUCCUCCCUGCUCCUCGCCCCUCUCUUUCACUCUUGAGAAAGUAACCUCAAGCUAACAGCCAGUUUGGGCUCAGAGUCCAAAGCCUUUGAUCUACCUUUUCAUUCUCAGAUGCCUUUUCCCACCCACUCUGACGAUCUCAUUUUACUAUCGUUUCUGACAGAGCUUUGCUCAGAUGGGGGUUGGCAGUGGAGGUAAGAUAAAGAAGCCUUUUGAAAGGGGAAGUGGGAGAAUCACAGAGCAUCCUCAGCAUGGCAGCAGAGAAGGAUCCCCAAAAGGCAAGGCACCCUGAAGCAAGAGGAAGUAGGAAAGAGGAACAAGUGUGGGUAAUCCUAUAGCACAAAGAGCUGCCUCCCUCAGGACUGAGAAGACUAGCUGCCCCAGGGAAGGAUUCACAUGAAGCUUGGCCAGUGUCCUAACCCCAACUGCUCCAUGGCGCCCUCGAUCCAAACCUGUCUUCUCUCUUGACAGUCAACAGAGAUCAUCUCUGGGACCAACUUCAUAAAGCCAAUUUAGACCAGUGCUGUCCAACAGAGAGAGAAUACAAACCACAAAUGCAAUUUUAAAUAUCCUUGUAGUCCCAUUUUUAGAAGUCCAAAGAAACAGGUAAAAUUAAUUUUAACACAUAUUUUAACCCAACAUAAAAAUAUUAUUGUUUCAACAUGGCAUCAAUAUAAAAAAUUACUGAAAUAUUUUACGUUCUUUUUUCCCCAAUGAAGUCUUCAAGAUCCAAUGUGAAUUUUGUUCUUAGAAAACAUCUCAGUUUGGACCAGCCAUAUUUCCAUGGCUCAAUAACCACAUGUGGCUACUGGCUACCAUGUAGGACAGCAAAGAUUUAGAUUCUGUUAGAAGACAGAAUGGGAUUGCCCUCACCCAUGAGUCACUCAGAUCUCCCAGCUGACAGAGGCUGGAGGUUGGUGUUGGACCAGAGGAGAAAGCACAGGAGUGAUGUCCAG
Long non-coding RNA from Equus asinus (donkey), 2749 nucleotides. NCBI's taxonomy places the organism in Eukaryota, Metazoa, Chordata, Mammalia, Perissodactyla, Equidae. The record is from Ensembl.